UGACUAACUCCGCUUGUAGCUCCUCCGGGGGCUACUGCCGGUUCCAAGCCCGGGUAAAGGAGGAGGGGUGG
Molecule: non-coding RNA, 71 nt
Filed under: Schistosoma mansoni
Lineage: Eukaryota; Metazoa; Platyhelminthes; Trematoda; Strigeidida; Schistosomatidae
Source: RNAcentral